GGGGCUGCAGCACUGACCCUGAACAGGGAUCGCCUCCCACCUCCACCCUGGGCCAGGCGUGCCCUUCUUCUCCUCCAGGGGCUCUGUGUUCCUGCUCCAGCGUGUCCCCCUGUGCUGCUGGGCCUCAACUGGCCAGGACUGAGAUGGGGAGACAGACCUCAGUUUCUGCGCGCUGAGCCUCAGGUAGGUGGGCGCCUCGUGUCACACGUUCCCCAAGCCCUCAGUGACUGGCAGCACGUAACAGAUGCACUACCAAGACAGAGCCCUGCUUUCCUGGAGCUCAUAAUUCAGUGAGUAAGGUAGGAUUAAACAAGCAAAUGUUUCAAUACAUAUUUUUAUUUAUUAUUUUUCAUAGUGGUAAAAUAUAUAUAAAUAUAUAUAAAAUGUUUGUAACCAUUUUUAAGUAUACAGUUCAGUGACA
RNAcentral lists this long non-coding RNA (421 nucleotides) under Bos indicus x Bos taurus (hybrid cattle). Its description in RNAcentral is "lncRNA (ENSBIXG00000005448.1)". Lineage: Eukaryota; Metazoa; Chordata; Mammalia; Artiodactyla; Bovidae. The record is from RNAcentral.